UAGGUUGUAACAUAUGAAUUUUGAGGGACAC
This 31-nucleotide non-coding RNA is filed under the name Mus musculus (house mouse). Lineage: Eukaryota; Metazoa; Chordata; Mammalia; Rodentia; Muridae. The record is from RNAcentral.